This is a non-coding RNA of Prunus avium (sweet cherry), 157 nucleotides long. The record is from RefSeq and is a predicted model, not a curated record. Lineage: Eukaryota; Viridiplantae; Streptophyta; Magnoliopsida; Rosales; Rosaceae.
AAUUGAUGAACAUGUUUUUCCCUCGACUUUUUCUUCAUUCUCUCUUGGUGGUUUGCUUUGCAAAUUUUGCUUUUGGAGCUACUCGAUUGCCACCAGAUGAAGUACAAACUUUAGCUGACAUAGCAAAGACACUGGGGAAGCCGAACUACUGGAAUUU